RNAcentral lists this ribosomal RNA (1541 nucleotides) under soil metagenome. RNAcentral's name for it is "bacterial LSU rRNA". It matches the Rfam family "Bacterial large subunit ribosomal RNA", at positions 785 to 2330 of the family's 2925-position model. The record is from RNAcentral.
AAUGUUGCAAAAUUAGGGGAUGAGCUGUAGGUAGAGGUGAUAUGCCAAACGAACUCGGAUAUAGCUGGUUCUCUCCGAAAUAACUUUAGGGUUAGCGUCAUGUGUUUAGUAUCGGAGGUAGAGCACUGGAUGAGCUAGAGGGCUUACUGCUUAUCGAACUCAACCAAACUCCGAAUGCCGAUACUCCAAAACAUGGCAGUCGGACUCCGGGAGAUGAGUUUCGGGGUCGAAAGGGAAACAGCCCAGAUCAUCAGCUAAGGUCCCUAAAUCCAAGCUAAGUGGGAAACGAUGUGGGGUUACUUAAACAACCAGGAGGUUGGCUCAGAAGCAGCCACCCUUUAAUGAGUGCGUAAUAGCUCACUGGUCAAGUGAUCCUGCGCGGAAAACUUAACGGGGCUAAGCUUGGUACCGAAGCUAUGGGUCUCAGCAUUAGCUGGGGCGGUAGGGGAGCGUUCCGCUUGCAGUGAAGGUCGACCGUAAGGACGGCUGGAGCGGGCGGAAGUGAGAAUGCAGGCAUGAGUAGCGUACAAACACGUGAGAACCGUGUUCGCCGUAAAUCUAAGGUUUCCGACGCCAGGUCAUUCCGCGUCGGGUUAGUCGGGUCCUUAGCCGAGGCCGAGAGGCGUAGGUGAUGGACAUCCGGUCAACAUUCCGGAACCGUCUGGAAGGAGCGAUGAGGGGACGCAACGAGGUAGGCCAGCCAGCGAUUGGUUGUGCUGGUUCGAUCCGUUUAGGUGUUGAGGCUUGUAGGAAAAUCCGCAAGCUGAGCUGAGGCGAUAGCGAGCCCUUGAGGCGUAAGUGGUUGAGCCUUGUUGCCGAGAAAAGCCUCUAAGCAUUGAUUUCCAGAUGCCCGUACCGCAAUCCGACACCGGUAGAUGGGUAGAGUAUACCAAGGCGAACGGGAGAACCUUCGUUAAGGAACUAGGCAAAUUAACCCCGUAACUUCGGGAUAAGGGGUGCCCUUUGGCGUGUAUGCGCUGGAGGGUCGCAGUGAAAUGGUUCUAGUGACUGGUUAACAAAACCACAGGUCUCUGCUAAGCCGUAAGGCGAUGUAUAGGGGCUGACGCGUGCCCAGUGCCGGAAGGUUAAAGGGAGAGGUUAGACGCAAGUCGAAGCUUUGAACUGAAGCCCCGGUGAACGGCGGCCGUAACUAUAACGGUCCUAAGGUAGCGAAAUUCCUUGUCGGGUAAGUUCCGACCCGCACGAAUGGUGUAACAACUGGAGCACUGUCUCGACGAAGGACCCGGCGAAAUUGAAAUGGCUGUGAAGAUGCGGCCUACCCGCAGCAGGACAAAAAGACCCCGUGGAGCUUUACUGCAUCUUGGCAUUGAGUUAGGAUACAAUCUGUGUAGGAUAGGUGGGAGGCUUUGAAGCUGGAGCGCUAGCUUCGGUGGAGCCAAUGGUGAAAUACCACCCUGAUUAUGUUUUGACCCUAACCCCACACCAUUAUCUGGGUGGGAGACAGUGCCAGGUGGGCAGUUUGACUGGGGCGGUCGCCUCCUAAAAGGUAACGGAGGCGCCCAAAGGUUCCCUCAGCCUGG